This 448-nucleotide ribosomal RNA is filed under the name uncultured bacterium. RNAcentral's name for it is "bacterial SSU rRNA". It matches the Rfam family "Bacterial small subunit ribosomal RNA", at positions 330 to 793 of the family's 1533-position model. The record is from RNAcentral.
UCCAGACUCCUACGGGAGGCAGCAGUGGGGGAUAUUGCACAAUGGGGGAAACCCUGAUGCAGCGACGCCGCGUGGGCGAAGAAGUAUUUCGGUAUGUAAAGCCCUAUCAGCAGGGAAGAAGAAAUGACGGUACCUGAGUAAGAAGCCCCGGCUAACUACGUGCCAGCAGCCGCGGUAAUACGUAGGGGGCAAGCGUUAUCCGGAUUUACUGGGUGUAAAGGGAGCGUAGACGGCCAGACAAGUCUGAAGUGAAAUUCCAGCGCUUAACGUUGGAAGUGCUUUGGAAACUGCCGGUCUAGAGUGCAGGAGGGGCGUGCGGAAUUCCUAGUGUAGCGGUGAAAUGCGUAGAUAUUAGGAGGAACACCGGUGGCGAAGGCGGCCUGCUGGGCUGCAACUGACGUUGAGGCUCGAAGGCGUGGGGAGCAAACAGGAUUAGAUACCCCAGUAA